RNAcentral lists this unclassified non-coding RNA (134 nucleotides) under uncultured Atheliaceae. RNAcentral describes it as "sequence contains ITS1, 5.8S rRNA gene, ITS2". Lineage: Eukaryota; Fungi; Basidiomycota; Agaricomycetes; Atheliales; Atheliaceae. The record is from RNAcentral.
GGAAGGAUCAUUAUUGAAUUAGCGAGGGCUGUCUGCUGGCCCCUUCGGGGGCAUGUGCACGUCCGAGCCGUUUAAAUCAACACCUGUGAACUCACCGUAGGCCUUCGGGCUUAUGUAUCAUAUAUAUAUACUCA